UGAAAUCUGUGUACUAAUAAAUACAUUCCCACACUUUAUGAUAUUUUUCUUGUUUGACAUGUGAUUUUCAGAAGAUCUCUUUGUCGGUAAGUUUCGUAUUUGGUGUUUUCUAACAUAAUUUUUCGUUUGUAUGAGUGGUGUCUCAAAAAAAAUGUCAAUGAAAACAAGACUGUUAAAAAUAUGUCAUCUAGUAUGAAGAUAAAAAAUGAUUAUUUU
Molecule: long non-coding RNA, 216 nt
Filed under: Brassica napus (rape)
Lineage: Eukaryota; Viridiplantae; Streptophyta; Magnoliopsida; Brassicales; Brassicaceae
Description: long non-coding RNA (BNAP_LNC015966)
Source: RNAcentral